AGCGAACGCUGGCGGCAGGCCUAACACAUGCAAGUCGAACGAACUCUUCGGAGUUAGUGGCGGACGGGUGAGUAGCACGUGGGAACGUGCCUUUUGGUUCGGAAUAACUCAGGGAAACUUGUGCUAAUACCGAAUGUGCCCUUCGGGGGAAAGAUUUAUCGCCAUUAGAGCGGCCCGCGUCUGAUUAGCUAGUUGGUGAGGUAACGGCUCACCAAGGCGACGAUCAGUAGCUGGUCUGAGAGGAUGACCAGCCACACUGGGACUGAGACCCGGCCCAGACUCCGACGGGAGGCAGCAGUGGGGAAUCUUGCGCAAUGGGCGAAAGCCUGACGCAGCCAUGCCGCGUGAAUGAUGAAGGUCUUAGGAUUGUAAAAUUCUUUCACCGGGGACGAUAAUGACGGUACCCGGAGAAGAAGCCCCGGCUAACUUCGUG
Molecule: ribosomal RNA, 433 nt
Filed under: uncultured bacterium
Lineage: Bacteria
Description: partial 16S ribosomal RNA
Rfam family: Bacterial small subunit ribosomal RNA
Source: RNAcentral